UGUUGGCGGCUGCCCUAGGAUUGCUGAUGCCCAUUGCAGGGGCUGAAUUUCUCAUUGGCCUGGUUGGAAAUGGAGUCCCUGUGGUCUGCAGUUUUAGAGGAUGGGUCAAAAAAAUGUAAGGAGUCCCUAUAAAUUCUCAUGAUUCUGGUAAGUAGCCACUUUCUCCUACUCAGGCCGAUCAUGUUGGACAUAAGUCUGUUUCCACUUUCCCAGAGCAGUGGUUGGCUUUACUAUCUUAAUGUCUUCGAGUCCUGGUAAGCCAGGCCAACAUGUAGUUUGCCACUUUCUUCAGUGGCUUCUGCUGCAUGGAGAUCAUGACCUUUGUCCCGCUGACUUCUUGUAGCUGAAAAGACUGGGUUUUUGUUUUUUGCUAGUGUCUUUCAAGAUCACUUUUUAUUUCUCAGCUCUUGUUGGCUGGACCCUUUAAAAACCCUUAACAGGAAACAGCAACAUCCUGCAUCCCAUUUUAAAUCUGUUAUUUUUAUAGAUUGCUGUCCAGUGAAGGAGACUGAUUGCUAUUUGUGAUGUUUCUGUUCCACUUGUCUUUUUGUAAAGACAUCACAGGAAGAUGGAGGACCACACAGCUGUCAGGAGGAGGCUCAAACCAAGGUGCUCAUCGCUCUGAACUUCCCCCUUUACAUGGUUUCUGCCUUGGCCAGACACUUUUCCAUGACCUUCUAAUCUCCCUCUGAUCUCACCAUUCUUGCCAUCUCUGCAACACUCAUGGCUGUUUAUACUUCAUUUCCGUCUAUUGUAAUGGUUAUGAGGAAUCAGACUUGUCAGAGAAUUCUGUAGGAGAUGAUAUGUACAUGGAAAUCCUAGAGGC
This 826-nucleotide long non-coding RNA is filed under the name Homo sapiens (human). RNAcentral's name for it is "non-protein coding lnc-SSBP1-2:1". The record is from RNAcentral. Lineage: Eukaryota; Metazoa; Chordata; Mammalia; Primates; Hominidae.